UGAGGAAUAUUGGUCAAUGGACGCAAGUCUGAACCAGCCAUGUCGCGUGCAGGAAGAGGGCCCUAUGGGUUGUAAACUGCUUUUAUACGGGAAGAAAACCAGCUACUAGUAGCUAUUUGCCGGUACCGUAUGAAUAAGGAUCGGCUAACUCCGUGCCAGCAGCCGCGGUAAUACGGAGGAUCCGAGCGUUAUCCGGAUUUAUUGGGUUUAAAGGGUGCGUAGGCGGAUAUAUCAGUCAGCGGUGAAAUCCUGCAGCUCAACUGUAGUGUGUGCCGUUGAUACUGUAUAUCUUGAGAUUAUUUGAGGUAGGCGGAAUGUGUUGUGUAGCGGUGAAAUGCAUAGAUAUAACACGGAACACCAAUUGCGAAGGCAGCUUACUAAACUAUAUCUGACGCUGAGGCACGAAAGCGUGGGUAUCAAACAGG
This 425-nucleotide ribosomal RNA is filed under the name uncultured Marinilabiliaceae bacterium. RNAcentral describes it as "bacterial SSU rRNA". It matches the Rfam family "Bacterial small subunit ribosomal RNA", at positions 355 to 776 of the family's 1533-position model. The record is from RNAcentral. Lineage: Bacteria; Pseudomonadati; Bacteroidota; Bacteroidia; Marinilabiliales; Marinilabiliaceae.